GGUAAUGGCCGGGAUAGCUCAGGUGGAGA
RNAcentral lists this transfer RNA (29 nucleotides) under Halimolobos adpressus. RNAcentral's name for it is "partial tRNA-Phe". The record is from RNAcentral. Lineage: Eukaryota; Viridiplantae; Streptophyta; Magnoliopsida; Brassicales; Brassicaceae.